GGAGGGCGGAGCUGCAGCACGGCCACGACCGGGCACCCAGGAGAGGAACAGUUCAAGUGCUGAAGUCCCUGAAGGAGAGGCUGGGGCUGCCCUCAGAGCAGAGCAGCACUGAGACAGACCAAGCUGCCAAACCCAUCGAGGAGAUCAGAGUGAAAACCCUGGAGGAAAUCCGCCUGGAGAGAGCCAAGCAGAGGAGAGCAGGAGAACCCCCAGCCAAAAUCCCAGCAGAAGGAAGGAAAACUGAAGAACCAAAUUCAGCAGCCAAACCUUCCCCUGCUGCUCGCAGCAAAUCCCUGAUGGGAGCCUUGGUGGAAAAAAACCACAAAAGGUUGGGAGAGGAGAAGGAGAAAGCUGAGGAGUUGAGCAGCAGGGCCAGAAGCGAGGGAGAUGCCAGGAGACAGAACCUCGGUGCCCCAGCUGCUGGCAGGGUGCAGCUGGCACAGGCUGGCAGGGCCAGGGGAGCUGCAGAGGUUCGGAUCAAAACCCUGGAGGAGAUCAAGAGGGAGAAGGCGCUGAGGCUGCAGCAGAGCGGGGANCUCCUUGGGAAUUUCCUUCUUUUUAUUCUGCCCUGGAUUUGUGUGGUGGAAUCUUGCCAGUGCUGGAAUCCAUCCCAUUCCCCUUUGGAAUAUUGCUUGGGAAGGAUUGAUCCAUUUCUGAGUAAUAACAACAAUAACAAUAAUAAUAAUAAUUGGUAAUAAUAAUAAAUGAUAAUAGUAAUGAUGAUGGUACUCAAUGGUGGGACUGAAGGAAACAGAAAAUCCUUCAGGAAUUGUUUCCUGUUAAUAAAAAUAGGCAAAUAACCCCCCAAUAAAACAUUAAAAACCCAAUUUUUGGAUGUUUUUCUUGGUUUAAAGCACCUGGAAGAGAAGAAAAAAUGAUUGUGGAGCUGAACAAACCUUCUGCCAAAAGUGGCUCUGCCCCUGCUGAGAAUUCAGGGAAUUCUGGAAUUCAGGUGAAGAGCCUGGAGGAAAUCAUGUGGGAGAAACGGCAGCAGAAACAGCGGCAGGAGGAGAAGCUGCAGCAGGGAGCUGGGGCAAACCCGGCCGAAAUCCAGGAAAAAAACCAGGAUAAAAAUAAAAACCAGGAAAAACCCUCAGGAUCAGGGAGCCCCGAGGCUGCUGUGGGCUCAGCCCAGCUGGGCAGGAGGAGAGGAGGGAAAAGCGGCGAGGAUGGAGCGGGAACUGCAGAGAAGGAGCCGGGGAAAAAGGGAGCUCAGCUGCCCGAGAGGAGGGGCAGAGCCAAGCCCAGGGUGUCCCUGCAGCCUCUGGACGCCAGAGCCCCUCCCAAGCAGCCCCUGAAGAGGAAGGGCCCCGAGUGCCCCCCGACUGUGGUGGCAGUGAAGCCUCUCAGUGCCACCAGCGGGCACAGCCCGGGCUGCCCAGCCAAGGUGAGGCCCCAAAUCCCCCCAAAAAACCCUGGAAAAUUGAAAUGUUCUCCAUUUCAGCAAUGCCCUUUUCACCCCACGGCUCUCAGGGGCAGCACAUUCCUGCUUUGGAGGCAUCUCCAAAAUUCCCUGCUGGGAUUUGGGAAUAUUUUGUCCUUUCCAAGGCAGAAAUUCCUUAAAAAAAACCCAAAUUCCUCAUUUCAGGAAUGUCCUGCUUCCCUAAAAUUUGGGAUUUUUUCUCAUUUCACAAAUGCCUGAAAUUUCAUUUCAGAAACUUCAUUUCAGGAAUCCCUAAAAUUUGGAGUUUUUCCUCAUUUCAGCAAUGCCCUGCUUCAGGUGAAGCACAAAAGGAAGAAUCUCCUAAAAUUUGGGAUUUUUUUAGAUCCUAAAACUUGUCCUGCUCCUCAUUGCCAGGUUCUUCAGAAUUCCCUGGUGGGAUUUGGGAAGGAUUUUUUCCCUUUCCAAGGCAAAAAUUCCUUUUAUAAAACCCCAAAUUCCUCAUUUUAGGAAUGUCCUGCUUCAGGUGAAGAAUCUCCUAAAAUUUGGGAAUUUUUUUAGAUCCUAAAAAUUCUCAGGUUCUCCAAAAUUCCCUGCUGGGAUUUGGGAAUAUUUUAUCCUUUCCAAGGCAGAAAUUCCUUAAAAAAAACCAAAUUCCUCAUUUCAGCGAUGCCCUGCUUCAGGUGAAGUAGAAAAAGAAAAAUCUCCUAAAAUUUGGGAUUUUUUCUCAUUUCACAAAUGCCUGAAAUUUCAUUUCAGGAAUCAUUUCAUUUUAGGAAUCUCUAAAAUUUUGGAUUUUUCCUCAUUUCAGCAAUGCCCUGCUUCUGGUGAAGAAUCCCCUAAAAUUUGGGAUUUUUUUAGAUCCUAAAAAUUCUCAGGUUCUCCAGAAUUCCCUGCUGGGAUUUGGGAAUAUUUUCUCCUUUCCAAGGCAGAAAUUCCUUAAAAAACNUGGCCGACAGGCUGGGCAGGAGGGCGGAGCUGCAGCACGGCCACGACCGGGCCCCCAGGAGAGGAACAGGUACAGCCGGGGACUGGGGUUUUAUAUGGGAUUGUGUAUUGGGGUUUUGUAUUGGGGUUUUAUAUUGGGAUGUUAUAUUGAAGUUUUGUAUUAGGAUCUUGUAUUGGGAUUUUGUAUUGGGGUUUUGUAUUGGGAUUUUGUAUUGGGAUAUAGUAUUGCGGUUUUAUAUUGGGAUUUUGUAUUGGGGUUUUGUAUUGGAUUUUGUAUUGGGGUUUUGUAUUGGGGUUUUGUAUUGGGAUUUUA
Molecule: long non-coding RNA, 2642 nt
Organism: Zonotrichia albicollis (white-throated sparrow)
Lineage: Eukaryota; Metazoa; Chordata; Aves; Passeriformes; Passerellidae
Source: Ensembl